GACGAACGCUGGCGGCGUGCUUAACACAUGCAAGUCGAACGGAAAGUCCCUGCUUGCAGGGUACUCGAGUGGCGAACGGGUGAGUAACACGUGGGUGAUCUGCCCUGCACUUCGGGAUAAGCCUGGGAAACUGGGUCUAAUACCGGAUAGGAGCCAUUUUUAGUGUGAUGGUUGGAAAGUUUUUUCGGUGUAGGAUGAGCUCGCGGCCUAUCAGCUUGUUGGUGGGGUAAUGGCCUACCAAGGCGGCGACGGGUAGCCGGCCUGAGAGGGUGGACGGCCACAUUGGGACUGAGAUACGGCCCAGACUCCUACGGGAGGCAGCAGUGGGGAAUAUUGCACAAUGGGCGCAAGCCUGAUGCAGCGACGCCGCGUGGGGGAUGACGGCCUUCGGGUUGUAAACUCCUUUCGCUAGGGACGAAGCUUUUUGUGACGGUACCUAGAUAAGAAGCACCGGCUAACUACGUG
RNAcentral lists this ribosomal RNA (465 nucleotides) under uncultured bacterium. RNAcentral's name for it is "partial 16S ribosomal RNA". It matches the Rfam family "Bacterial small subunit ribosomal RNA", at positions 28 to 507 of the family's 1533-position model. The record is from RNAcentral.